UGCUUGGGAAUAUGCCUAGAGGUGGGGGACAACAGUUGGAAACGACUGCUAAUACCGCAUAAUGUCUACGGACCAAAGGAGGGGAUUCUUCGGAACCUUUCGCCUUUAGAUUAGCCCAAGUGAGAUUAGCUAGUUGGUAGGGUAAAGGCCUACCAAGGCGACGAUCUCUAGCUGGUUUGAGAGGAUGAUCAGCCACACUUGGGACUGAGACACGGCCCAGACUCCUACGGGAGCAGCAGUGGGGAAUAUUGCACAAUGGGGGAAACCCUGAUGCAGCCAUGCCGCGUGUGUGAAGAAGGC
This 300-nucleotide ribosomal RNA is filed under the name uncultured Thalassomonas sp. RNAcentral describes it as "bacterial SSU rRNA". It matches the Rfam family "Bacterial small subunit ribosomal RNA", at positions 114 to 415 of the family's 1533-position model. Lineage: Bacteria; Pseudomonadati; Pseudomonadota; Gammaproteobacteria; Alteromonadales; Colwelliaceae. The record is from RNAcentral.